GACGAACGCUGGCGGCGUGCCUAACACAUGCAAGUCGAACGGGAUCCUGGCUUCGGUCAGGUGAGAGUGGCGGACGGGUGAGUAACGCGUGGGAACCUGCCCAGUGGUGGGGGAUAACUGCGGGAAACUGCAGCUAAUACCGCAUGAGCCCGAGAGGGGAAAGAUUUAUCGCCAUUGGAGGGGCCCGCGUUCGAUUAGGUAGUUGGUGAGGUAACGGCUCACCAAGCCGACGAUCGAUAGCUGGUCUGAGAGGAUGAUCAGCCACACUGGAC
RNAcentral lists this ribosomal RNA (272 nucleotides) under uncultured bacterium. RNAcentral describes it as "partial 16S ribosomal RNA". It matches the Rfam family "Bacterial small subunit ribosomal RNA", at positions 28 to 318 of the family's 1533-position model. The record is from RNAcentral.